UUGACAGGUGCGUCAGGCCGGCAGCGGGGCAGUUCGCUGAGGGGCUUCCUUAGCGCUCGCUUGCUGGUCUACAGUUUUGGCCCCAUUUUUUGGUUUAUUUUAUUUAUUUACCUCAUAAAAUUCAAGAGACCACUUCAUAUUAUUUUAUUUUUAAAGAUGAAAAUUAACCAAAGUGAUGGUGGUGGUUUGUUGUUGUUUUUAAAAAAACCUACCUGAGUUCUCGUUUGCCGGUCUAAAAUUUUGGCUCCUUUUUUUUUUUUUUUGCUUUGUUUUAUUUAUUUACCUCAUAAAAUUCAAGAGACCACUUGAUUUUAUUUUAUUUUUAAAGAUAAAAAUUAACCAAAGUGGUGGUGGUGUGUUUUGUUUUUUUAAAAAAUACCUCAAACCUACCUGAGCUCUUGCUUGCCGGUAUCAAAUUUUGGCUCCUUUUUUUGCUUUGUUUUAUUUAUUUACCUCAUAAAAUUCAAGAGACCACUUGAUUUUAUUUUAUUUUUAAAGAUAAAAAUUAACCAAAGUGGUGGUGGUGUGUUUUGUUUUGUUUUGUUUUUAAAAUAAAUACCUCAAAACUACCUGAGCUCUCGCUUGCCGGUAUCAAAUUUUGGCUCCUUUUUUUGCUUUGUUUUAUUUCUCUCAUAAAAUUCAAUUUAAUUUUUAUCUUUUUUAUUAAAAAAAGGUUUGGUUUUUUUAAAAAAACAACCACCUUGAAGCAGUUUGCAAAAAAAAGGACAAAACAAUAAACUCAGUUAUUUUUCUUUUUACAACGGUGCUUUAAAAACACACGGGAAGUUAAAACAGAUUUUUAAAAAGCCCACCCCAGCAUUUCUAAGCACCUGGCUAGUUUUGCCCAAAUGAAAAUGUUUUUAAGUGGGGGCUGAAAGGAAGGCAGUGAAAAGGCACAAAACAACCAAGUUCUCACCUGGAUUGCCUGAUUUACGGAACUAUAAUCAAGGUGUGGCAACUAUGGCAGCGUUUGAAUGAUUUCUGUUUAAACAAUAAAAUGUUUGAAGUAAAAUAAGACAAAGGGUUUAGUGAAGAAGACGUUAAGUUUAUUAUGAACAUAACUGAAUUAUGAAAUUUAUUUUAGUACAAGUAGUUUUCUAAAGUAAAUAUACUGGGUAAAUACAUUGGGCGUGGACAGGAAGUCAUGUAUAAAGAUAUGAAAUGUAGAAUAAUAGAAUGGAAGAUGAUAUUGUAGUUAACUGGAAAAUUAUUAGUGUUUUUUCCUUUGAUGGCCACUGGUCCCAUCACCUGGCAAAUAGAAGGGGAAGAAAUGGAGGCAGUGAGAGUUUUAAUUUCUUGGGUUCCAUGAUCACUGCAGAUGGUGACAGCAGCCACGAAAUUAAAAGACGCCUGCUUCUUGGGAGAAAAGCAAUGACAAACCCAGACAACAUCUUAAAAAGCAGAGACAUCACCUUGCCAACAAAGGUCCGUAUAGUUCAAGCUAUGGUUUUCCCAGUAGUGAUGUAUGGAAGUGAGAGCUGGACCAUCAAGAAGGCUGAUCGCCGAAGAAUGGAUGCUUUUGAAUUCUGGUGCUGGAGGAGACUCUUGAGAGUCCCAUGGACUGCAAGAAGAUCAAACCGAUCCAUUCUGAAGGAAAUCAGCCCUGAGUGCUCCCUGGAAGGACAGAUCCUGAAGCUGAGGUGCCAAUACUUUGGCCACCUCAUGAGAAGAGAAGACUCCCUGGAAAAGACCCUGAUGUUGGGAAAGAUGGAGGGCACAAGGAGAAGGGGACAACAGAGGACAAGAUGGUGGGACAGUGUUCUCGAAGCUACCAACAUGUUUGACCAAACUGCGGGAGGCAAUGGAAGACAGGAGUGCCUGGCAUGCUCUGGUCCAGGGGGUCACGAAGAGGCGGACAUGACUAAACGACCCAACAACAACUGUUUCUAUCAACUUGUAAUGCAAAUUCUAUGUUAUGUUUCUUUUUUAAUUUAUCAAAGUGGUGGGCGGGGAGAAGAACUUGGCCCGGUAGCUGAUGGGCAACCAGUGCAGACCUCUGUCGUAUGCUGGCAAGGCCUCCUGUCAGCAAUUGUGCUGCAGCAUCCUGCACUAACUGCAUCCUCUGGAUCAAGCAGAGUGAUGCAUCUUCAUAUUCUCGUAAACUCCAGUGCUUCAGUCUGUCAGAGUCUGCCCUGAUUACUGUAUUAUGUAUUUUAGAUGCAAAAAUCCCACUUGCAUUCAUUUGAUGGAAAGGGCUGGGACUGUGAUUUGUAAUGUUUUUACUGUAAAUAUUUAUAUAUUUUAAUAGAUAUAUUUUAAUAUACACACAUACACAUUCAUUAUUGUUUUAUCUAAAUGAUUAUCUAAAUGUCUCUAUUUUAUCUGUAAGCUGCCUUGAGUCCCUGGGGAAAAGGCAUAAUAAUAACACCACCAACAACAACAAUUUGAGCUUUUCUCCUAGGUUAGUGUGCACAGGGCACUGAUUCAUAAGGAUUUAUUUUAGCUGGGCAGUUGCACAAAGCACAGCAAUCUGCUUUCAUUUUUAAAACGAUUUUCAUUUAUUUAUUUGCUAUUUUACUUUUAAAGGUAAAAUAGGAACAAAAGGCAUACAAUUAGGAUAAGUACUAGGUACUCAGUAAAGAAUAAAAAUAUGCCCCCUACUCUCAUUCGCCAAUGUUCUGUCCCACCAGCAAAAUCACUGAGUUAAUUAACAGGAUUUUAAAAUGCUAUAG
This 2672-nucleotide long non-coding RNA is filed under the name Podarcis lilfordi (Lilford's wall lizard). The record is from RNAcentral. Lineage: Eukaryota; Metazoa; Chordata; Lepidosauria; Squamata; Lacertidae.